GCAAAGAAACCCUGACACUGCGCUAACAAACUUUUGGAAAGGAUCAACCAAGGUCUAAAAGCGGCUCACAAACUAAGGGGACUGGAACAACACACAGGGAUACCUCCCUUUGCCUGGUAUACCAACAAAUGAACCCAUAUGGACCCAAAUGUAAAACACAGCAUACUCCGGGGGACCCCACAGACACAACUCCACUCAUUAUGUGAGAUUCAGAUUCACGAGACAGACC
Pelobates cultripes (western spadefoot toad) is the source of this 229-nucleotide non-coding RNA. The record is from the annotation of a GenBank genome assembly. Lineage: Eukaryota; Metazoa; Chordata; Amphibia; Anura; Pelobatidae.